UCCGCAUCCAAUCGUUCAUGCACUUGUCUCCCCCUCCACAUCGCGUGAGUACUUUUCCCUAUGCCCGGUGAACUCUCUCACCCUCGCCACUCGGCCAUUGGUGCGCGCGGGCGUCGAGGAAUCACCACGCAAGCGACAGGAGUCGGGACUGGCGUCGGACGACAAGGAUUCGAAUUGACGACGACAACGAUCGUGUUUGGUGCGUCAUGCGGUUGAGUUGUUGGCUAGGUGUCCCUCCCCCAUCGCCACCGGAUCGAGCGGCGGUGGUCCAGGGAAGCGCGGAUCCGGCGGAGUCCAUCGGCUCGCGCGACUCUGCAACGCUAGAUCCUCGACGCCGUCGACGUCCAUGAGCUGCGUCGACGACCGGCGAGGUGGAGCGUAGAAGAAGCAUUCAUCGAUCCACACGACAUCGUCGUAGAUCUCCUUCCUCCAACAAUCACGGCCAAGCGAAACACCUUCGUCUCGGAUGGUUAAUCCCAUGCAAUUUACACAACUCAUGCAAAUGGGAGUAGAACCUGUCAGGGAUGCAAACCUUGGAGACCCACCAGUUUUCCCAUAGUCACAAGCAGAACAACCAAGUGGAAAUCAACCUUCAAGGUGUAACCAGAGGGGGAAGCAAUACCACUUCAGUAUUGAGGAGUACAAAAUCUUGGUUUCUUGCUGGCUUAAUGUCAGCCUUGAUCCUAUAUUUGGUGCUGGACAAUGGAAGGCGUCAUUUUGGAGGACUAUAGAAUAAAACUACAACUCUCAGAAAUCAACAGGACAUCCAGUCCGCACACUUAGGAGUUUGGAAUGGAGGUAACUACAGCUAUAAACCUUUACAAUAGCAUCGAAUGCAAGCCUAUAAUCACCACCCAUUGCUGGGAGAUUCUUAGAAAUGAGGCAAAAUGGUUGGAUUUGUAGAGGAAGGCUACUCAGGUCAUGGAAGAGUUGGUAAAGAGAAAGUAGUAUAUGUUCCAGACUCCAUAAAUGGCGAUGACGAAACUGAUGACACUAGUCGAGGAACUUAGAGGCCCAUGGGAAUGGACGCUGCAAAGGCUACAAAAAGAAACGUUUCCAAUGAAACCUUCAUCCAAUCUAGCUCAGAGUACACGAGUUUGAUGUU
Molecule: long non-coding RNA, 1105 nt
Filed under: Zea mays
Lineage: Eukaryota; Viridiplantae; Streptophyta; Magnoliopsida; Poales; Poaceae
Description: drought-responsive long non-coding RNA
Source: RNAcentral